This is a long non-coding RNA of Oreochromis aureus, 2802 nucleotides long. RefSeq lists it as uncharacterized. The record is from RefSeq and is a predicted model, not a curated record. Lineage: Eukaryota; Metazoa; Chordata; Actinopteri; Cichliformes; Cichlidae. The transcript is spliced from 4 exons.
AGAGGAGAGCCACUGAGGGAACGCCUUCCGCCCUUCCGACGCCUCCACCGUGACUCCACUUCUGAGAGGAAUUGCCUACAGAUCAAGCAUGGAGUGUGCCUGAAUGGACAUACAGAACUCCAAGGUUCGGCCCGGUGUUGAGGGUUUUCCCAAAGGUGAGGGCCCGGCGGGCGGUGCCUCACAGCCCUCCGCCUCUGGGAGUGGCCCAUUUCUACUAAGGAGGCAAGAGGUGGCCAGGAGUCUGUCAGCGAGUUCUGCAUGUCCUGGUGACCCUCCACCUGUUUCACAGGUUGUGUGAAAGAGGAUGAAGAUACAAGCUGGUGAUGAUCCAGUGCACCUGGUCUCAGGACAUGAAGAAAAAGCCUGAUCACCUUCUCCACAAAAACAAGAAAUCCUGAGCAGGAGGAAUCAAACAGCUAAGAGCAUCUUGACCACAGUGGGGGAAAAGGAUAUCUUAUGGCUGAAGUCCGGCUGACUGUUGGUGGGAAGCCGCUGGACAACGACUCUGCAUCUCUGGCUGAAUAUGGGCUCAAACCUCAUGUGGUGCAGAUGGUGGUGAAGGUCUACAGAGGCUGACAGACACCAGCAAUAUGAUACAUCCAAAGGACAAAAUGCAUCAUCUUUGCUAGCUGGCACUGAACUGUGUCAUCUUUGAUCUUUGGUUUUCUUCUACACUUAAACAUACAGCUCAAUGAAGCAUUAAAUGUAAGAGACUGUAAGACUAUUAUAACAAGUAAGUUAUCCAGAGUAGGCCUUGAGAUGGAAAGGAUAGAUACAGCUUCAGUAAAAGACAUUUUCAGGGAAAGAACAUUUUCCAAUUCCUCUUUGGAAAUUUGAAUAUUGUGAAAAACGACUUGAAAAAACAUGUUUUUAAUAAGGCUUGGAGCUAAAUGUGGAAAAAUGUUGCUAUUUAUUUCAGCAUCUUUCAGUUUACAAACGGCAUCCCAUUGAAUAACUGGAAUCCCCCCCUCCCCCGUUUUCACAUAAUGUGAAGGCAUCCAGUGGGAUGGUUCACAUUUUUGAAACUCCUGAUAUUGCGUGAAAUCCCUUUAUGCACACUUUGAUUAACAGGGGGAGCCAACAAGCAUUAAAAAAAGGAUUUUUUUUUUUUUAAAUGGGAAGAGCAACCAAAUUAUAACAUAACAUUAAAGUAAGCAUGUGCUACACACCUCCUGCAUGAAUCAACAAAUUAAGAUAUGUUUAAUCAGUGAUGCAAAAUCUUAUAAAACAUGCUUUGGUUUUGUCGAGUGAACUCUUGCUGCCUUUAGCAGAGAGCGCUAAUUCUGGGAUUAGAGGAUGUUUACAGCACACAGUAUAUGAAGAAAACUAUAAAGAUGUUUACAUACAGUCUAUAAAAAUGGAGCGAUGGUAAUACAACCACAAAAUUGUUUCACAGCUAUAUAAAGAUGUUUAAUUAAUCAGAUAAAAAAAAAAACAACUGCAUUUUUUUAUGCUGUGCCACUGGUAUUCUAUUUGUACUUGUCUAGAUUUAUACUCCUCUCUACACCUCUUUAGAUGCUGUAUUGCUUUAAAACAUUAUCAAAACAAGCACAUUGUCCUUGUAUCAUUGUGAGCCACUAAAUGUCUUUCGCUGACAUCCAGGGUUCUGACAGGUAACUGGAACUUGACUGUGAUGUGAACAUACCAGUGCCCAUUCUGCUGGUUAAAAAAAAUAAGAAGGUAAUCUUUAAAUAUACCAAAUGUACAGGUACAUCCUGAAGGGUGCAAUAUUCCACACAGGCAGGAGGGGUCACUGUUUGAAAACAAUUGCAGGUGAGCUAAAGUACAUGCAGUGGCAUAACACUGCAAACCAGGGAUACUGGUUAAAUGACCAUAGGGAGAUUUUAAAUAGAAAAAACUAACAAAAGAUCAAAAUACAUAUGUACAUAUUACUCAGAAAUCAUAUCAAGUUUGAACUCUGCUUUUUUAGGGAACAGAAGAAGUCAAAUUAACAAUGGGUUCAAUCUGGUUACAAAAAGCUUUCUUCACAUUAGUAAAUACAUUACUCGUACAUCACCUGCAUGUGGGUAAAUCUUGGAGUCACACAGGAAGCAGCAGAGCCAGCUUCCUAGGCCUAUACUGAUAUAGAGUGAAAUCAGCAAGACUUAUAUGUGUGCGAGCACAUGGUUCCUGGCAGUUAUUUUGUAUCCGUAAUCAUAAUGCAACAAUCGAAAAGGGAGGUGUUUGGAUAAACUGUUAUUUAUUGUCAGGCUGUUUUUUCAAGAUCCAGUGCAUUAAACAGUGCAUUGAAACAUUUGAUGCUGUGAUGCAUAAUUACCUAAACACCAAUGACAUGGUAAUCAGAAACUUACAAAGUAGCCAGUAAUCCUGGUAAUGACUCGUGUGAACUUAAAUCUUCUAGAAAAAUAUAUGUGACCCUAUGAUUUGUCACAGGAUGUUAUUUUAGCCUGCAGCCUGAAUAUAGUGUAUAAAAUGUAAAUCAUGGAUGGAAGGUUAAAUCGGACCCCAAAAAGCAUGUAUUCAUGCACCACAGAUGAGCUUUUCUACACUUCACCCAGACAAGCUGUAUUUAAAAACACUAAUGUCAGAACCAGCCGUAAUGUACUGCAUGUAAUGCGCUUAACACAGAUCAUCUGCUGUUGUUUGCCAUGUGUGUGAAAGGGCCACAAUGUCUAGUGUUCAUGACAGAAAAUGGCAUCACACCAAUCUUAUGUUUACCAAAUUACAAGCAAUCUGUCAUUUUUUUUUACAAGUUUCAUGACGUGUAGGUAAAAUAUUUUCCUCUACAAAACUAUAAAUGUCCUUUGGCAAUCUUUUUUUUUUUUUUUUUUUUAAUUAGCA